GCCUGGAUGGCUCAGUCAGUUGAGCGCCUGACUUCGGCUCAGGUCAUGAUCUCACGGCUCUGGCUCGUGAGUUCGAGCCCCACGUCGGGUU
Molecule: transfer RNA, 91 nt
Filed under: Felis catus (domestic cat)
Lineage: Eukaryota; Metazoa; Chordata; Mammalia; Carnivora; Felidae
Rfam family: tRNA
About the family: Transfer RNA (tRNA) molecules are approximately 80 nucleotides in length. Their secondary structure includes four short double-helical elements and three loops (D, anti-codon, and T loops). Further hydrogen bonds mediate the characteristic L-shaped molecular structure. tRNAs have two regions of fundamental functional importance: the anti-codon, which is responsible for specific mRNA codon recognition, and the 3' end, to which the tRNAs corresponding amino acid is attached (by aminoacyl-tRNA synthetases). tRNAs cope with the degeneracy of the genetic code in two manners: having more than one tRNA (with a specific anti-codon) for a particular amino acid; and 'wobble' base-pairing, i.e. permitting non-standard base-pairing at the 3rd anti-codon position.
Source: Rfam by way of RNAcentral